AUUGAGCGCUGGCGGCAGGCCUAACACAUGCAAGUCGAGCGGCAGCGGGAAAGUAGCUUGCUACUUUUGCCGGCGAGCGGCGGACGGGUGAGUAAUGCCUGGGGAUCUGCCCAGUCGAGGGGGAUAACUACUGGAAACGGUAGCUAAUACCGCAUACGCCCUACGGGGGAAAGCAGGGGACCUUCGGGCCCUGCGCGAUUGGAUGAACCCAGGUGGGAUUAGCUAGUUGGUGAGGUAAUGGCUCACCAAGGCAACGAUCCCUAGCUGGUCUGAGAGGAUGAUCAGCCACACUGGAACUGAGACACGGUCCAGACUCCUACGGGAGGCAGCAGUGGGGAAUAUUGCACAAUGGGGGAAACCCUGAUGCAGCCAUGCCGCGUGUGUGAAGAAGGCCUUCGGGUUGUAAAGCACUUUCAGCGAGGAGGAAAGGUUGGUAGCUAAUAACUGCCAGCUGUGACGUUACUCGCAGAAGAAGCACCGGCUAACUCCGUGCCAGCCGCCGCGGUAA
RNAcentral lists this ribosomal RNA (508 nucleotides) under uncultured bacterium. RNAcentral's name for it is "partial 16S ribosomal RNA". It matches the Rfam family "Bacterial small subunit ribosomal RNA", at positions 29 to 523 of the family's 1533-position model. The record is from RNAcentral.